AGAGUUUGAUCCUGGCUCAGAACGAACGCUGGCGGCGGGCUUCAUACAUGCAAGUCGAGCGGAAAGGCCCCUUCGGGGGUACUCGAGCGGCGAACGGGUGAGUAACAAGUGGAUAACCUGCCUUCCGAUGGGGGACAACGACUGGAAACGGUCGCUAAUACCGCAUACGGUCAUUGGGUCUUCGGCCCCGAUGAAGAAAGGAGCUUCGGCUCCGUCGGGAGAUGGGUCCGCUUCCCAUUAGCUAGUUGGUGUGAUAAUAGCGCACCAAGGCUUCGAUGGGUAGCCGAGCUGAGAGGUUGAUCGGCCACACUGGAACUGAGACACGGUCCAGACACCUACGGGUGGCAGCAGUAGGGAAUAUUGCGCAAUGGACGAAAGUCUGACGCAGCCACGCCGCGUGGGGGACGAAGGCCUUCGGGUCGUAAACCCCUUUUCUGAGGGAAGAACAAGCUGGGGAGGUAAUGCCCCAGCCCUGACGGUACCUCAGGAAUAAGCAACGGCUAACUCCGUGCCAGCAGCCGCGGUAAUACGGAGGUUGCGAGCGUUGUUCGGAAUUACUGGGCGUAAAGGGGGCGCAGGCGGCCAGGCAAGUGGAAAGUGGAAUCCCGGGGCUCAACCUCGGACGUGCUUUCCAAACUGCCUGGCUUGAGUCCGGGAGAGGAAGAUGGAAUUCCAGGUGUAGCGGUGAAAUGCGUAGAUAUCUGGAGGAACACCAAUGGCGAAAGCAAUCUUCUGGCCCGGUACUGACGCUCAGGCCCGAAAGCGUGGGGAGCGGACAGGAUUAGAUACCCUGGUAGUCCACGCCGUAAACGUUGUGUACUAGGUGUAGGAGGUGUCGACCCCUUCUGUGCCGAAGCUAACGCAUUAAGUACACCGCCUGGGGAGUACGCCCGCAAGGGUGAAACUCAAAGGAAUUGACGGGGGCCCGCACAAGCGGUGGAGCAUGUGGUUUAAUUCGAGGCAACGCGAAGAACCUUACCUGGGCUUGACAUCCCGUGUUACCCCUGGAAACAGGGGGUCCUCUUCGGAGGCACGGUGACAGGUGUUGCAUGGCUGUCGUCAGCUCGUGUCGUGAGAUGUUGGGUUAAGUCCCGCAACGAGCGCAACCCUUAUUCUUAGUUACCAGCGGUUCGGCCGGGAACUCUAGGAAGACUGCCCGUGAUAAGCGGGAGGAAGGUGGGGACGACGUCAAGUCAUCAUGGCCCUUACGUCCAGGGCUACACACGUGCUACAAUGGCCGGUACAGUGGGUUGCGAAACCGCGAGGUGAAGCUAAUCCCAAAAAGCCGGUCUCAGUUGGGAUUGGAGUCUGCAACUCGACUCCAUGAACCUGGAAUCGCUAGUAAUCGCGUAUCAGCUACGACGCGGUGAAUACGUUCCCGGGCCUUGUACACACCGCCCGUCAAGUCAACCGAGUUGGCUGCACCCCAAGUCGCUGAGCUAACCC
Molecule: ribosomal RNA, 1446 nt
Filed under: metagenome
Description: bacterial SSU rRNA
Rfam family: Bacterial small subunit ribosomal RNA
Source: RNAcentral